Molecule: ribosomal RNA, 433 nt
Filed under: uncultured bacterium
Lineage: Bacteria
Description: partial 16S ribosomal RNA
Rfam family: Bacterial small subunit ribosomal RNA
Source: RNAcentral
AACGAACGCUGGCGGCAUGCCUAACACAUGCAAGUCGAACGAGACCUUCGGGUCUUGUGGCGCACGGGUGCGUAACGCGUGGGAACCUGCCCUUAGGUUCGGCAUAACUCCCCGAAAGGGGUGCUAAUACCGGAUAAUGUCUUCGGACCAAAGAUUUAUCGCGUUUGGUUGGGCCCGCGUUGGAUUAGCUAGUUGGUAGGGUAAAAGCAUAACACGGCGAGGAUCCAUAGCUGGUAUGAGAGGAUGGUCAGCGACACUGGGACUGAGACACGGCCCAGAAUCCUACGGGAGGGAGCAGUGGGGAAUAUUGGACAAUGGGCGAAAGGCUGAUGCAGCAAUGCCGGGUGAGUGAUGAAGGCCUUAGGGUUGUAAAGCUCUUUUACCCGGGAUGAUAAUGACAGUACCGGGAGAAUAAGCUCCGGCUAACUACGUG